GGUUAAGCGACUAAGCGUACACGGUGGAUGCCCUGGCAGUCAGAGGCGAUGAAGGACGUGCUAAUCUGCGAAAAGCGUCGGUAAGGUGAUAUGAACCGUUAUAACCGGCGAUGUCCGAAUGGGGAAACCCAGUGCAAUUCGUUGCACUAUCGUUAACUGAAUACAUAGGUUAACGAGGCGAACCGGGGGAACUGAAACAUCUAAGUACCCCGAGGAAAAGAAAUCAACCGAGAUUCCCCCAGUAGCGGCGAGCGAACGGGGAGCAGCCCAGAGUCUGAAUCAGCUUGUGUGUUAGUGGAACGGUCUGGAAAGUCCGACGGUACAGGGUGAUAGUCCCGUACACCAAAAUGCACAGGCUGUGAACUCGAAGAGUAGGGCGGGACACGUGGUAUCCUGUCUGAAUAUGGGGGGACCAUCCUCCAAGGCUAAAUACUCCUGACUGACCGAUAGUGAACCAGUACCGUGAGGGAAAGGCGAAAAGAACCCCGGCGAGGGGAGUGAAAAAGAACCUGAAACCGUGUACGUACAAGCAGUGGGAGCACCUUCGGGUGUGACUGCGUACCUUUUGUAUAAUGGGUCAGCGACUUAUAUUCUGUAGCAAGGUUAACCGUAUAGGGGAGCCGCAGGGAAACCGAGUCUUAACUGGGCGUUAAGUUGCAGGGUAUAGACCCGAAACCCGGUGAUCUAGCCAUGGGCAGGUUGAAGGUUGGGUAACACUAACUGGAGGACCGAACCGACUAAUGUUGAAAAAUUAGCGGAUGACUUGUGGCUGGGGGUGAAAGGCCAAUCAAACCGGGAGAUAGCUGGUUCUCCCCGAAAGCUAUUUAGGUAGCGCCUCGUGAAUUCAUCUUCGGGGGUAGAGCACUGUUUCGGCUAGGGGGUCAUCCCGACUUACCAACCCGAUGCAAACUACGAAUACCGAAGAAUGUUAUCACGGGAGACACACGGCGGGUGCUAACGUCCGUCGUGAAGAGGGAAACAACCCAGACCGCCAGCUAAGGUCCCAAAGUCAUGGUUAAGUGGGAAACGAUGUGGGAAGGCACAGACAGCCAGGAUGUUGGCUUAGAAGCAGCCAUCAUUUAAAGAAAGCGUAAUAGCUCACUGGUCGAGUCGGCCUGCGCGGAAGAUGUAACGGGGCUAAACCAUGCACCGAAGCUGCGGCAGCGACACUAUGUGUUGUUGGGUAGGGGAGCGUUCUGUAAGCCUGCGAAGGUGACCUGUGAGGGUUGCUGGAGGUAUCAGAAGUGCGAAUGCUGACAUAAGUAACGAUAAAGCGGGUGAAAAGCCCGCUCGCCGGAAGACCAAGGGUUCCUGUCCAACGUUAAUCGGGGCAGGGUGAGUCGACCCCUAAGGCGAGGCCGAAAGGCGUAGUCGAUGGGAAACAGGUUAAUAUUCCUGUACUUGGUGUUACUGCGAAGGGGGGACGGAGAAGGCUAUGUUAGCCGGGCGACGGUUGUCCCGGUUUAAGCAUGUAGGCUGAUUGUCCAGGCAAAUCCGGAUAAUCAAGGCUGAGGUGUGAUGACGAGGCACUACGGUGCUGAAGUAACAAAUGCCCUGCUUCCAGGAAAAGCCUCUAAGCAUCAGGUAACAUCAAAUCGUACCCCAAACCGACACAGGUGGUCAGGUAGAGAAUACCAAGGCGCUUGAGAGAACUCGGGUGAAGGAACUAGGCAAAAUGGUGCCGUAACUUCGGGAGAAGGCACGCUGGUGUGUAGGUGAAGUCCCUGCGGAUGGAGCUGAGACCAGUCGAAGAUACCAGCUGGCUGCAACUGUUUAUUAAAAACACAGCACUGUGCAAACACGAAAGUGGACGUAUACGGUGUGACGCCUGCCCGGUGCCGGAAGGUUAAUUGAUGGGGUUAUCCGUAAGGAGAAGCUCUUGAUCGAAGCCCCGGUAAACGGCGGCCGUAACUAUAACGGUCCUAAGGUAGCGAAAUUCCUUGUCGGGUAAGUUCCGACCUGCACGAAUGGCGUAAUGAUGGCCAGGCUGUCUCCACCCGAGACUCAGUGAAAUUGAACUCGCUGUGAAGAUGCAGUGUACCCGCGGCAAGACGGAAAGACCCCGUGAACCUUUACUAUAGCUUGACACUGAACAUUGAGCCUUGAUGUGUAGGAUAGGUGGGAGGCUUUGAAGCGUGGACGCCAGUCUGCGUGGAGCCAACCUUGAAAUACCACCCUUUAAUGUUUGAUGUUCUAACGUUGGCCCCUUACCGGGGUUGCGGACAGUGUCUGGUGGGUAGUUUGACUGGGGCGGUCUCCUCCCAAAGCGUAACGGAGGAGCACGAAGGUUAGCUAAUCCUGGUCGGACAUCAGGAGGUUAGUGCAAUGGCAUAAGCUAGCUUGACUGCGAGCGUGACGGCGCGAGCAGGUGCGAAAGCAGGUCAUAGUGAUCCGGUGGUUCUGAAUGGAAGGGCCAUCGCUCAACGGAUAAAAGGUACUCCGGGGAUAACAGGCUGAUACCGCCCAAGAGUUCAUAUCGACGGCGGUGUUUGGCACCUCGAUGUCGGCUCAUCACAUCCUGGGGCUGAAGUAGGUCCCAAGGGUAUGGCUGUUCGCCAUUUAAAGUGGUACGCGAGCUGGGUUUAGAACGUCGUGAGACAGUUCGGUCCCUAUCUGCCGUGGGCGCUGGAGAAUUGAGGGGGGCUGCUCCUAGUACGAGAGGACCGGAGUGGACGCAUCACUGGUGUUCGGGUUGUCAUGCCAAUGGCACUGCCCGGUAGCUAAAUGCGGAAGAGAUAAGUGCUGAAAGCAUCUAAGCACGAAACUUGCCCCGAGAUGAGUUCUCCCUGAGACUUUAAGUCUCCUGAAGGAACGUUAAAGACGAUGACGUUGAUAGGCCGGGUGUGUAAGCGCAGCGAUGCGUUGAGCUAACCGGUACUAAUGAACCGUGAGGCUUAACCUU
This 2902-nucleotide ribosomal RNA is filed under the name Klebsiella pneumoniae. RNAcentral's name for it is "23S ribosomal RNA". It matches the Rfam family "Bacterial large subunit ribosomal RNA". Lineage: Bacteria; Pseudomonadati; Pseudomonadota; Gammaproteobacteria; Enterobacterales; Enterobacteriaceae. The record is from RNAcentral.